Xenia sp. Carnegie-2017 is the source of this 608-nucleotide long non-coding RNA. RefSeq lists it as uncharacterized. NCBI's taxonomy places the organism in Eukaryota, Metazoa, Cnidaria, Anthozoa, Malacalcyonacea, Xeniidae. The record is from RefSeq and is a predicted model, not a curated record. The transcript has 3 exons.
UCAACAAGGGCACUUUAUAAACAAAGGGAUUAUAUUAUCAACUGCACUAUAUCAAUGUUGCUGUGUGUAUUCAAGACAUUGAAGUGAUUCAUUGAAUUGGAAUUUCAAAUACUGGUAUUUGUCAAGGAAGUAAUGUAUGUAUACUUACCAAAUGCUUUUGAUAAACUGUGAAAGUUCAACUCCUGUUGCUUCGCUGAUAACUUCUUCUACAUGACCUUCCAUAGGAUCAAGAGAGGCAUUCAGUAAGCGAUCCAGUGGAUUUGCCUUGUGCUCAGCUGAGACGUCAACACUACAGUUGCCAUUUAGGAAAAGAAAAGUGGACUAUGUGUAAUGGACUCAAUCGAAGAGGCAAACCAUUUUCUGUGGGAAAGUUUUGUUCAAGAAACUGUUUCAAGCUUUCAGCUUUUUGCACUGCUUCUUGUAGAGUGGUCUCGUUGUCGAUCAGGAAGGUCAUACUGUGUAUUUGGCCCAGUUGUUCUUGCAAGAUCUUUCUCAGCCUUUUGGAACUUUUGUUUGAAGUAGUUUCAAACUUAACUGUUUCUUCGUGGGGUAUGUCGUGGAUAUAUUUUUUGUUAUCAGAAGACAACGAUUCUUGCAAAACAACGUCU